This 298-nucleotide unclassified non-coding RNA is filed under the name uncultured fungus. RNAcentral describes it as "sequence contains ITS1". The stretch from base 1 to 105 matches the Rfam family "5.8S ribosomal RNA", at positions 50 to 154 of the family's 154-position model. The record is from RNAcentral. Lineage: Eukaryota; Fungi.
GAAACGCGAUAAGGAAUGUGAAUUGCAGAAUUCAGACAAUCAUCGAAUCUUUGAACGCACAUUGCGUCCGCCAGUAUUCUGGCGGGCAUGCCUGUUCGAGCGUCAUUUCAACCCUCAAGCUCAGCUUGGUGUUGGGACUCGCGGUAACCCGCGUUCCCCAAAUCGAUUGGCGGUCACGUCGAGCUUCCAUAGCGUAGUAAUCAUACACCUCGUUACUGGUAAUCGUCGCGGCCACGCCGUAAAACCCCAACUUCUGAAUGUUUACCCCGGAUCAGGUAGGAAUACCCGCUGAACUUCA